This 1140-nucleotide ribosomal RNA is filed under the name human gut metagenome. RNAcentral's name for it is "bacterial LSU rRNA". It matches the Rfam family "Bacterial large subunit ribosomal RNA", at positions 1345 to 2538 of the family's 2925-position model. The record is from RNAcentral.
CUAAGGUUUCCUGGGGAAGGUUCGUCCGCCCAGGGUAAGUCGGGACCUAAGGAGAGGCCGAAAAGCGUAUCCGAUGGACAGCAGGUAGAAAUUCCUGCACUACGUAAUACUUAAAAGACAUAAAUGACACAGGAGUGGAAGAUAAGCGAGGAAGAGGAAAGACUCGUAUCGAAAGAUAUAGUGAAAAUUAAAGUAACGAAUUAUCAAGAAGCUAAUGGCGAGAAAAGUUUAUGGAUAUUGUAUUAAGUACCCGUACCGCAAACCGACACAGGUAGAUGAGGAGAAGAUCCUAAGAUGAGCGAGAGAAGCAUUGUUAAGGAACUCGGCAAACUGACCCCGUAACUUCGGAAUAAGGGGUGCUGGAGUAAAAUCCAGUCGCAGAGAAUAGUCCCAAGCAACUGUUUAACAAAAACACAGGUUUCUGCUAAAUCGAAAGAUGAAGUAUAGGAGCUGACACCUGCCCAGUGCUGGAAGGUUAAGGGAAAGAGUUAGACGCAAGUCGAAGCUUAGAACUAAAGCCCCAGUGAACGGCGGCCGUAACUAUAACGGUCCUAAGGUAGCGAAAUUCCUUGUCAGGUAAGUUCUGACCCGCACGAAAGGUGUAAUGAUUUGGGAGCUGUCUCGACAAUGUACUCGGCGAAAUUGUAGUACUAGUGAAGAUGCUAGUUACCUGCGACAAGACAGAAAGACCCCAUGGAGCUUUACUGCAGCUUGAUACUGGGUUUCGGUAAUUUAUGUACAGGAUAGGUGGGAUGCUAAGAAGUAUGUGCGCCAGCGCAUAUGGAGCAGACGUUGGGAUACCACCCUUAAAUUACUGGAAUUCUAACUAUAAGUCCUAAACGGGCUUGAGGACAAUGUCAGGCGGGCAGUUUGACUGGGGCGGUCGCCUCCUAAAGAGUAACGGAGGCGCGCAAAGGUUUCCUCAGCGCGGACAGAAAUCGCGCGAAAGAGUGCAAAGGCAGAAGGAAGCUUAACUGAGAGACAGACAUGUCGACCAGAUACGAAAGUAGGUCUUAGUGAUCCGGUGGUUGUAAGUGGAAAUGCCAUCGCUCAACGGACAAAAGUUACCCUGGGGAUAACAGGCUUAUCUCCCCCAAGAGUUCACAUCGACGGGGAGGUUUGGCACCUCGAUGUCGGCUC